UCCCUGGCCGUCUUUACCUUAUAUGGUAAUCAUAACCAUAUAUGUCACAACACAAACAUCUAUAAAUAAACGUUAUGAAUGAGUGUAAUAUGACCAUAUAUGAAGAAAGCGUAAUCAAAUAACGUGCGAGGGGUACCGAAUGGAGAAACAAGAAAAAAACAUCGUUGGAAUAAUCUCCCCUUUUGAUUGCACACGAGCUUUCAAACGGUUGAGAUCCGGUGCCCAAGACAGGAGAAAAGUGAACCGUAUUGCUGGGGACUCCAAUGCUCAUCGGAUUAAGGAUAUUCUUCCUGAUGAUAUAGCUGUCAAAUGCCUGCCAAUCUCUGAUGAGAAUAUGUAAUGACAAUGGUAUAGAACAGUAAUUACAGUUUCAGACAUUCGCCAACUCUGUUUUCAAAGGUGCCAAAUUUUCUUGUGAUCGUUUUCGCCAUGCAUUGUUGAGAGACUUGCGGAAGAUGGAUGUUCAACAGCUGUAUCUUCAUCUAGGCUCAAAUGACAUUCUUACGAAUGAAGCGGUGUUUUACCGAGAUGUAGCUGACUUGUGCGAUUUGGUGCAUCAGGAGGCGCACAAUCGGUGUCCAGAAUGCAGGGUUGUUUGCUCCAACGAAGACGCUUUGCUGAGC
This is a long non-coding RNA of Dreissena polymorpha, 623 nucleotides long. RefSeq lists it as uncharacterized. The transcript is spliced from 5 exons. The record is from RefSeq and is a predicted model, not a curated record. NCBI's taxonomy places the organism in Eukaryota, Metazoa, Mollusca, Bivalvia, Myida, Dreissenidae.